GGGUAUAUAGCUCAGUGGUAAAGUGUAUGCUUAACAUGCAUGAGGUCCUGGGUUCAAUUCCCAGUACUUCCA
RNAcentral lists this transfer RNA (72 nucleotides) under Camelus bactrianus (Bactrian camel). It matches the Rfam family "tRNA". From Rfam's summary of the family: Transfer RNA (tRNA) molecules are approximately 80 nucleotides in length. Their secondary structure includes four short double-helical elements and three loops (D, anti-codon, and T loops). Lineage: Eukaryota; Metazoa; Chordata; Mammalia; Artiodactyla; Camelidae. RNAcentral also lists the same sequence under 3 other names. The record is from Rfam by way of RNAcentral.